AAGUCGUAACAAGGUUUCCGUAGGUGAACCUGCGGAAGGAUCAUUAACACGUAUCCAAACGUUUAAAAAAAAGAAAACCCCCCCUGUGAACAUUUGCUUGCUCUUGCAGCCCGCCUGGCUAGAAAAUCCCUGGUAAAUCAUCGCUGAACUAGUUUGAUUCAGGGACCGUCUGGUUGGGUGAGAGCCAUAGCUGCAAUCGAGAGAUCGUGGCAUAACCAAGCCUGCUCCGUAAAGUCCCCUGCGUACGUGAAAGUGGUAUUGGGGUGUAUGUACUGGAGAAACCCUUCUGGAUGAUGGAUCGUGCCCCCCAGGAUUACCCCGCUACCAGUCGAAACGACCAACCUGCGCAACCAUUACGUGUUGAGCCCGUGGGCGUCGUAAACCGAAAUACUUGAACAACUGUUAACAAUGGAUAUCUUGGUUCUC
This 426-nucleotide unclassified non-coding RNA is filed under the name fungal sp. RNAcentral describes it as "partial internal transcribed spacer region". The stretch from base 1 to 46 matches the Rfam family "Eukaryotic small subunit ribosomal RNA", at positions 1786 to 1831 of the family's 1831-position model. Lineage: Eukaryota; Fungi. The record is from RNAcentral.